AGAGAAAAAAGCAUCGAAAGCAGCAUUACCCUCACCUAGUGCAACAAACACAAUCUCAAGCUGUUUUUGGAACUCCUUGUAUAUUUCUUUCAAGUCCGCUAUUGUAACAUGAUAAAGUAGAUGAGGAUCGUGCAGCCACCCACAGUAGAGAACAACAAAUUUGCCAGAGAGUUGAGCUUUAAUGUCAACCUAAAGAAAAU
RNAcentral lists this long non-coding RNA (200 nucleotides) under Panax ginseng (ginseng). RNAcentral's name for it is "long non-coding RNA (PGIN_LNC001039)". The record is from RNAcentral. Lineage: Eukaryota; Viridiplantae; Streptophyta; Magnoliopsida; Apiales; Araliaceae.